RNAcentral lists this unclassified non-coding RNA (272 nucleotides) under Toninia plumbina. RNAcentral describes it as "partial contains 5.8S ribosomal RNA, internal transcribed spacer 2, and large subunit ribosomal RNA". The record is from RNAcentral. Lineage: Eukaryota; Fungi; Ascomycota; Lecanoromycetes; Lecanorales; Ramalinaceae.
CGCACAUUGCGCCCCUCGGUAUUCCGGGGGGCAUGCCUGUCCGAGCGUCGUAAAAAAGUCCUCAAGCAAAUUUGCUUGGUGUUGGGUCGCGCUGCGAGAGCGGCGAGCCCUAAAAACAGUGGCGGCGGCGUCUAGGCUCCGAGCGAAGUAGAAUACACUCACCGCUAGGGGGACUGGGUGCAUGCUAGCCAAACAAAACACGGCUGUCUUUUGCGAGACCAGCUAAACUAAGUCUUGACCUCGGAUCAGGUAGGGAUACCCGCUGAACUUAA